RNAcentral lists this ribosomal RNA (429 nucleotides) under Verrucomicrobiota bacterium. RNAcentral's name for it is "Verrucomicrobia bacterium partial 16S ribosomal RNA". It matches the Rfam family "Bacterial small subunit ribosomal RNA", at positions 355 to 776 of the family's 1533-position model. Lineage: Bacteria; Pseudomonadati; Verrucomicrobiota. The record is from RNAcentral.
UAGGGAAUCUUCGGCAAUGGGGGGAACCCUGACCGAGCAACGCCGCGUGAGUGAAGAAGGUUUUCGGAUCGUAAAGCUCUGUUGUUAAGGAAGAACGAGUGUGAGAAUGGAAAGUUCAUGCUGUGACGGUACUUAACCAGAAAGGGACGGCUAACAACGUGCCAGCAGCCGCGGUAAUACGUAGGUCCCGAGCGUUGUCCGGAUUUAUUGGGCGUAAAGCGAGCGCAGGCGGUUAGAAAAGUCUGAAGUGAAAGGCAGUGGCUCAACCAUUGUAGGCUUUGGAAACUGUUUAACUUGAGUGCAGAAGGGGAGAGUGGAAUUCCAUGUGUAGCGGUGAAAUGCGUAGAUAUAUGGAGGAACACCGGUGGCGAAAGCGGCUCUCUGGUCUGUAACUGACGCUGAGGCUCGAAAGCGUGGGGAGCGAACAGG